UUUCUCCUACGGGAGGCAGCAGUGGGGGAUAUUGCACAAUGGGGGGAAACCCUGAUGCAGCGACGCCGCGUGAGUGAAGAAGUAUUUCGGUAUGUAAAGCUCUAUCAACAGGCAAGAAAAAAGACGGUACCUGACUAAGAAGCCCCGGCUAACUACGUGCCAGCAGCCGCGGUAAUACGUAGGGGGCAAGCGUUAUCCGGAUUUACUGGGUGUAAAGGGAGCGUAGACGGCAAUACAAGUCGGAAGUGAAAUACCCGGGCUCAACCUGGGAACUGCUUUGGAAACUGUAUGGCUGGAGUGCUGGG
Molecule: ribosomal RNA, 305 nt
Filed under: uncultured bacterium
Lineage: Bacteria
Description: bacterial SSU rRNA
Rfam family: Bacterial small subunit ribosomal RNA
Source: RNAcentral